UACAGAGGGUGCAAGCGUUGUUCGGAAUUAUUGGGCGUAAAGCGCGUGUAGGCGGCUUUGCAAGUCGGGUGUGAAAGCCCUCAGCUCAACUGAGGAAGUGCGCCCGAAACUGCAGAGCUUGAGUGCCGGAGAGGAUGGCGGAAUUCCCCAAGUAGAGGUGAAAUUCGUAGAUAUGGGGAGGAACACCGGUAGCGAAGGCGGCCAUCUGGACGGUAACUGACGCUGAGACGCGAAAGCGUGGGGAGCAAACAGG
This 253-nucleotide ribosomal RNA is filed under the name uncultured bacterium. RNAcentral's name for it is "partial 16S ribosomal RNA". It matches the Rfam family "Bacterial small subunit ribosomal RNA", at positions 524 to 776 of the family's 1533-position model. The record is from RNAcentral.